Molecule: ribosomal RNA, 521 nt
Filed under: Thelonectria japonica
Lineage: Eukaryota; Fungi; Ascomycota; Sordariomycetes; Hypocreales; Nectriaceae
Description: SSU rRNA
Rfam family: Eukaryotic small subunit ribosomal RNA
Source: RNAcentral
AUAAGCAAUUAUACAGCGAAACUGCGAAUGGCUCAUUAUAUAAGUUAUCGUUUAUUUGAUAGUACCUUACUACUUGGAUAACCGUGGUAAUUCUAGAGCUAAUACAUGCUAAAAAUCCCGACUUUGGAAGGGAUGUAUUUAUUAGAUUAAAAACCAAUGCCCUCCGGGGCUCCUUGGUGAUUCAAGAUAACUCCUCGAAUCGCAUGGCCUUGCGCCGGCGAUGGUUCAUUCAAAUUUCUUCCCUAUCAACUUUCGAUGUUUGGGUAUUGGCCAAACAUGGUUGCAACGGGUAACGGAGGGUUAGGGCUCGACCCCGGAGAAGGAGCCUGAGAAACGGCUACUACAUCCAAGGAAGGCAGCAGGCGCGCAAAUUACCCAAUCCCGACACGGGGAGGUAGUGACAAUAAAUACUGAUACAGGGCUCUUUUGGGUCUUGUAAUUGGAAUGAGUACAAUUUAAAUCCCUUAACGAGGAACAAUUGGAGGGCAAGUCUGGUGCCAGCAGCCGCGGUAAUUCCAGCU